CAAUUUGCACCUAUUUCAGGUGCAUGUACCCUUCAUUUCACAUUUAUUAGAACGUGUACAGUGCCUGAGUGUGCACAGAUUGAAUGUUAACACAAUCUCGUAAGGCCAAGAUAUUUAACUAACUUAGUGCAUAUGCAAGGCUCGACCAUGCUAUUGACAUCCAGAGGUUGUCUGACCGUAUGCUUAUGAAGCCAUUUGCAAGCUUUUUAUUGCAGUAACAGAAGCAUUGCAGUACUAUCCAAAUGCAAAUUCGCUCUGCUACCAGCCCCUUCGAGCGGCAGGUUUAACCCUGACGAUUUCAGUAUAUGUGGUAAAGGGAACCUAUAAAUCACAGCUCCGGAGGUCAUGGUCCAUGCAAGGCAGUGUUGGGAUCAUAAUCGGGGCCAAAAAGUCUAACGACCCUGAUUGCAUGGUUAGGCAGGGGCUUCGCAAGUGAAGGAAGCCAAGCGUUGAUUCCACAAAAUGAAAUGGAAGCUCCUGCCCACUUCAGGUGAAGCAAAUGUAAACGUGUCGGUGACAGAAGCCCGUACCAAUGAGCUCCAACGGCG
RNAcentral lists this long non-coding RNA (548 nucleotides) under Physcomitrium patens. RNAcentral's name for it is "long non-coding RNA (PPAT_LNC015016)". Lineage: Eukaryota; Viridiplantae; Streptophyta; Bryopsida; Funariales; Funariaceae. The record is from RNAcentral.